This 1525-nucleotide long non-coding RNA is filed under the name Podarcis muralis (Common wall lizard). Its description in RNAcentral is "lncRNA (ENSPMRG00000019985.1)". The record is from RNAcentral. Lineage: Eukaryota; Metazoa; Chordata; Lepidosauria; Squamata; Lacertidae.
GCUCCCCAACCAGCCUGGGAUCGGCUCCCUCUUGCAGCUUUUUCCUUUCCUCCUAAUUUUUUUUUCCUUGGAGGAUCCAACCGGGAUUUAGAGGCUCCUCAAACUCUCGUCUCUCUUUUCUUGGGCUCCCUUCGUCCUUGUCGCUGGUGUGAUCGCUAACCUCCUGCCCCCCCUUACUACUACCCCCCGUUUCCCGAACCAACCACUCCUCCCCGCUUGCCCGAAGCGCAGGAGAUGGAAGUUUUCCCCCUCGCUUUGCUCGUGUCCGUGUGCUGGACCGGAACCUGGGAAGCGGCGCUGGCAGAUUCGAUCAUCCACAUCGAGUUUGUCUGGGCUAUGAAGCUGGGACCCUUUGCAACGCACCCUUAGCAAGAGUGAUAUUUCCCAGCCAACAAACCAAGUAUGGAAAUUGUUCACAAUAUGACCUUUCUGACAAGGAACCUCCAUGCCAGUGCUACCAGCCACCAGUUGAAUGUUCACAGGACAUCCAUUAAAUGACUGCCUUUCAGGUGUUGUGGCAUCCACAGGAAAAAUUGCUUCUGUGUGCCAGUAUUUUUCAUAUUCUUAUCACACGGAGGCUGGAUUGCAGUAAUCAUACUGACUCCCUUUGCACUGAAACAUCUUUGAAGUGGCCAGUAUUGCUACAAUAUCUUUGCAUUCAUUAAGCACAUUGUCAGCAGGACAGAAUAAAAGUGCUGUAAAUUGGGGAAACAAGGUGAUGCCUUGACCCCAAUGAAGUUGACAGAACUGGUUAUAGCUGGGCUUUCUUUCAUGGUAACAGUAUGAGGGUACGAAUGAAAGAAAGAACGAAAGCAUCAUCUCAUUCCGCAGCUAUUUCUAAUUUUAAAAAUGACUUUCUCCUCUGAAAGCUGAAUUACCAGGGAUAGUAGGGAUAUUAUUGCAAUCUAAUGCAGGAAACUGAUCAUCCAUCACAUUUAAAUUAUAACUUGAGCCAAAAUUAUAUUUUAUAUUGGAACGAGGAUUUUCCCCCCUGCCUCUGCUGAUGUUCAGCUCCAACUAAGUUUUUAUGCACACAAGAAUGGAGGGAAAUGCCUGGAAUUGAAUUUCCAUAAUGAAAAGGAAGCUAAAUGGAUUUUCAGAGGGGGCUGGGAGAAAAGAAUUUCAUGUGAAUUUCUAAGGUUAAUUUUUUAUAGAAAGAGAAGGAUCAAAAGCGGAUUUUAUGCUGGAUUAAUACAUUACCAGAGAUAACGGAAACUACUUCUGAAUGGCAAGGUUCCACGUUACUCACAGUAAUGUCUGCAGCGAGGAAAUAUGAGGCUCGGGUAAAUUGGGUCAUUUCAUCUCGCAUCAGCAUUACACACCUGUCUUAGGGUAACAACCUUUUUAUUAUUUAUUUCCCACUGCUUAAUAUUCAGAACUUCUAAGUGGUAUACAUAAAAUGUUAAAAACAACAACAACACGAAGAGCAAUUAAACUUAAUAAAGAUGCCUGAAGUAUGGAAGUCUGUUGUGCACCUGAAGUUCAGCAGAGAGGAGGCCUGUCAGAUUUCAGUCAGAAGGGCUAU